RNAcentral lists this long non-coding RNA (606 nucleotides) under Prunus dulcis (almond). Its description in RNAcentral is "sRNA ncRNA". Lineage: Eukaryota; Viridiplantae; Streptophyta; Magnoliopsida; Rosales; Rosaceae. The record is from RNAcentral.
ACUGUGUUAGUUGUAUUAAGCAGUGCUUACAAAUUCUCCCAAAACUACAAUUUGUUUCAGAACCUUCAAUACUUGUCUGUAUUUAUAAUAUGGUAUCACAUCAACAAAGAAUGAUAAAGGAAAAUACACGCAUUAUAAAUACAUACAUAAAAUAAAAGAAUCACCGACUCACUUCCAUGAAAUUCAUUUGAAAAACCCAAAAGAAUUAAUACUAGCAAGUAAUAAAUGGGUGGAAAUAAUAAUUAAAAUCUAGUGGUUGAGGAGAGCAACCAUGGACACCAAAAACGGGAGGCAGAGGAUCAUAGCCCCUGAGGCCGCCACGGAGUGAGCUGCUCCUUUGUCUUGAGCCGGCGCGGGAGCGGGCGCAACAUCAAAAUCUUGGGCCGAAGACACGGCCGCAAAGAAAGCCACCACGGCAAAGGCAAAGACCAAGACCUUCAUCUUCAUCACACUGCUGCUCAAAUGUGCCAUUGCAAAUCAAAGAUUUAAUUUGAAUGAAGAAAAGAAAAGCUUUUAGUUUUAGUUAGAGAGAACAAAUAAAGAAGAGAGUUGGGCUGAUUGCUUGCUUCCCCAAAUAUAUAGUGAUAUUUGGGGAAGGGAGUGGGG